RNAcentral lists this ribosomal RNA (509 nucleotides) under uncultured bacterium. Its description in RNAcentral is "partial 16S ribosomal RNA". It matches the Rfam family "Bacterial small subunit ribosomal RNA", at positions 28 to 506 of the family's 1533-position model. The record is from RNAcentral.
GACGAGCGCUGGCGGCGUGCUUAACACAUGCAAGUCGAACGAAGAGCGAUGGAAUCUUGCUUCUAUCAAUCUUAGUGGCGAACGGGUGAGUAACGCGUAAUCAACCUGCCCUUCAGAGGGGGACAACAGUUGGAAACGACUGCUAAUACCGCAUACGAUCUAAUCUCGGCAUCGAGGAUAGAUGAAAGGUGGCCUCUACAUGUAAGCUAUCACUGAAGGAGGGUAUUGCGUCUGAUUAGCUAGUUGGAGGGGUAACGGCCCACCAAGGCGAUGAUCAGUAGCCGGUCUGAGAGAAGGAACGGCGGCAUUAGGACUGAGACACGGCCAAGACGCCUAAGAGAGGCAGCAGUGGGGAAUCUUCCGCAAUGGACGAAAGUCUGACGGAGCAACGCCGCGUGAGUGAUGACGGCCUUCGGGUUGUAAAGUUCUGUUAAGCGGGACGAAAGGCCUUCUUGCGAAUAGUGAGAAGGAUUGACGGUACCGGAAUAGAAAGCCACGGCUAACUACGU